CUGGAGAAGUGAUUGGUAAGUUUUCCUUUUUAAUUUGUUUCUUCUGUCUUUUCCUGCUGGAUUGGUUUCUAAUCUCUAACUCCUUGGUGCAGUCUCUUCUAUUAUUGCCGCUGGGGACUUGGAGCUUCCUUUUGCAGAUGAAGAAGAUGAGGUCCAGGCAGAACAAACCCUUACCGAGGCCGCUAUUUCUGGCAGAAGAAAAAGAAAAGGACCUGC
Molecule: long non-coding RNA, 216 nt
Filed under: Prunus persica (peach)
Lineage: Eukaryota; Viridiplantae; Streptophyta; Magnoliopsida; Rosales; Rosaceae
Description: long non-coding RNA (PPER_LNC001052)
Source: RNAcentral